AAAACUUGGACUCAAAUUAUUUUUAUUUAACAAAAACCUUAACCCUAAAAUCCUGACUAGAGUUCAUAACAGCAGAGCCUACACGUGAAUUAUGACUCAUUUUUAGCUGUUCAUUCACACUAAUGCAUUAUAUACCAUUACCAACAGACAUACACCUACAGUAUAUCUGUAUUUGUAAUAAACAAUAAUUAUUUUUAAAAAUUAUAUUAUAAUAUUAAUAAUUUCCUUCUAGGAACCUUCCUUUUUUUUCCUUCUCCUCUUCUUAUAUAUUUCCUCUUCACAGUCUCUUCUCUAUUCACUUUUGAACCAAAAAAUCUCUCUUUCUUCCUUUGUAAAAUCACAAAAGAGAAACAAAGCCUUGCAAAAAUGGCCUCUUAUUUCAAAGUUAUGCUUUUCUUAGCCUUUUUUGCUGCUUCAUGUUUAGCUCAAUCUCCAGUUCCUGCACCUAAAAUUUCUCCGGCGGCAACACCUACUCCGGUGCCGGCGCCAGCACUGUCUCCGCCGACAGCAAUCCCAUCUCCGGCACCAACAACUUCACCAACUCCAUCACCAUCUGCUUCUACAACUUCCCCAUCACCAGCUCCGGCCGGUGGUCUCGCCGGUUCUCCUCCCGCGCCUACUCCGGCUGGUGGAUCCGGUGCUUCACCGGCGGAACAGCCCUCCGCCGACAACACACCGCCACCAAACGCCGCUAACAGGGCCGUCAUUGGCGGUGCUGCAUUUGCUGGUGUACUCAUUGCUGCUGCUUUCAUGUAGAGCUGCCACGUGUCAUCACACGUGUCUUGACGGACCGAGAUUUGUUUUGUAUCUUUGUUGGGGUUGAGUAGUACUUAUCUCUUCUUUCUUUUUUUGUCUUUUAUUUUGUUUAUUUUACUUUAUAUUUUUGUCAUUUAUUUGUUUGGUACAUUGUGGUGUUUUUAUUUCUUUUUUCAUUUUUUGUUAGGGUG
This 947-nucleotide long non-coding RNA is filed under the name Nicotiana tabacum (common tobacco). RNAcentral's name for it is "long non-coding RNA (NTAB_LNC008538)". Lineage: Eukaryota; Viridiplantae; Streptophyta; Magnoliopsida; Solanales; Solanaceae. The record is from RNAcentral.